UAUUUCUGUCUCAUCUCCCUCAUCAAACCCUAACGCCGCCUUGCCAAUCUCCGCCAUGUUUGUCGGCGGCGCUACCUCCAAUCAACCCCAAAUAAAAAUCACACAACCCUCACUCACCCCCGACUCCCAAGCCAUCACCAUAUUCCUUCAAAUCAACGCCAAACGAACCCAAUCUUAGAUCUGAAAAAGGCAGGAGAGAAAACAACAAAUCUUUCGAAUUUUUCUCAGUUUUGACAAGAUAUUAGGAGUCGAAUCUGGCCUCGCUCGUCUUUUCUUGACAAGAAUACAUGGUUGAGGCCAAUUUCGACUCAAAAUCAACACAUCUGCAUGCUUUCAAUCCAUGCUCGUUUGUAGUUUCCUUUAGGUACUCUCUUUCUUCUAUUUUUCCCGUUCUUUUAUUCUUUUUCUCAUCUUUAUCUCUUUCUAUCUCCUCUUUUCUUUUUUCUUUAUUAUGUUUUCGUUUUUAAUCAGUGUUGUUGCAUGAUUAAACUAAUAGAAAGUUUAGUUAUUUUUGUUUUGGUUCUUAUUAGUUCCUUUCCCCUUUCUGUUUUGGUUUCAUUCCAAUGGUCUCUGCUUUUUCUUUUGGACAAUUCCGGUUAGCCCAUUAGUUUUGUGAGCUUAGAUUUUGAUUGGAAUGUGGGCUGUGUCAACAGAGGAGCAAAGAGGAAAUUAGGCUGGGUGCAACCCGAUUUGGGGUUGUUGUUUGGGACAAUUUGACCCAUUUGGUUCCAAAGAUAAAUAAUAUAGGUUUUAAGGUUAGUCUAGAAAUUUUAGUUUAGGAAAUCUAUCAUAACUGACUUAGGAAACUUCCUGAAAGGUGAGUUUGCGACUGUAUAAAAAAUAAACUUUAUAUUCAGGAAUUCACUAGCAAAAAUGAGAAUUAUAAAACGAGUAAAGGUCAAAAAGUGAAAUCAUUUCUGUUGUCCUAGAGCUCCUCUAUAAAAGGCUUUUACUUCCUAAUCAGGUGAGAUUUUUUGGAGAAUAAAAAACACUGAAAAGCUUAGAAAAUGGCUGAGUCUCUUUCAAACUCCAAAAAUACUGAAAAUUACUGAACGAUUUACUUGGUUUCUGGUUCUUUGAUUCCCUUUGGUUAAUUAGAUUUUCUAGAAGUUCCAAAUCGUGCACCUGGAUUAAAAAUGGUUUGCGGUUGGUUUAAAAGUUUGGUUUGAGUUGUUGUUUGGCACUGGUCCAUUGCUGUUGAUUUACUGUUGCUGCUUCCUCCUAAUCUCAGGCUUUUAUUCUGGUUUAUUUUGUUGUAUUCAAGUACAUGUUUCUGGAUCCUACUUAUGUGAGGCUCGAUUUGAAGUAUGAAAUUGAAAUAUGGAGCUUUAAGCAUAGCAUCGACUCACCUGCUCAUAAUUUAGCUUUAUUUUCGGCAUUACAUUGUUCUGAGUUGUCUGAUGUAUUGCAUUUUAUCCGGGCUGCUGACAGUACUCUCUUAGGGGCUAUAUUUGGACUUUACUUAACAUGGAAUUCAAUUAUCUGUCAAGUAUCUUAUAGCUAGAUGUUGCUGUGAUAAUUGAACUCUUAUCAUUGUAUUUGAUCUUGGACUAUUAUGAUGGAAACUUGAUGAACAAUAUGCUUAGUCAGAUCAGUUGCUAAAUUCUAUGCGCAAUCAUGUUGAUAUUGUGUAAUUUGGACUGAAAAUUUGAACUCUGUCUAUCAUGUAAUUAAUUUGGAUUGUUGUAGUAUGGUUUAUUGUAGACAAGUAGUAUCUUAUCUUGGAAGUUAUUGACUGAAUUGUUUCCCAACUAGUAGUCAAUCUACAGUGAGUUUUCUAAUACUUUUGUUGUGCCUAUAGAUAUUAUACUUGGAAGUAAAUAUUUGUGUUUGUUUCUUUUCAAAGUUUGGUACUGGAUCAAACUGCAACUCUAAUAUUGUAAGUAUGUGGGUAGAAGUGAAUGGCGCAAUAUCUGAUUUUUGAAUGAAUCUCAUAGGGUGACAUUAAUUUGACUAGUAGCAUGUUUAGUAAGCCAUUUUUAAGUUUAGCAAGUAGUAUUGUAAUUUAGACCCUAUGGUCAUCUUGAAGGACAGUAUUGCUUUUAAAAUCGCUUACAU
Molecule: long non-coding RNA, 2058 nt
Filed under: Nicotiana benthamiana
Lineage: Eukaryota; Viridiplantae; Streptophyta; Magnoliopsida; Solanales; Solanaceae
Description: long non-coding RNA (NBEN_LNC027278)
Source: RNAcentral